Molecule: ribosomal RNA, 71 nt
Filed under: Hematodinium sp.
Lineage: Eukaryota; Dinophyceae; Syndiniales; Syndiniaceae
Description: partial ribosomal RNA
Source: RNAcentral
AUUUCGUAGGGUUGAUAUGAAGUUAAGUCUCUAUGCCUUGAGUUUCUAACUGGAUUAAUGACCCGGGCAUC